GGUUCAAGUNCCUCUAUCCCCA
This 22-nucleotide transfer RNA is filed under the name Barleria strigosa. Its description in RNAcentral is "partial tRNA-Leu". Lineage: Eukaryota; Viridiplantae; Streptophyta; Magnoliopsida; Lamiales; Acanthaceae. The record is from RNAcentral.